RNAcentral lists this ribosomal RNA (504 nucleotides) under uncultured bacterium. Its description in RNAcentral is "partial 16S ribosomal RNA". It matches the Rfam family "Bacterial small subunit ribosomal RNA", at positions 28 to 507 of the family's 1533-position model. The record is from RNAcentral.
GACGAACGCUGGCGGCGUGCUUAACACAUGCAAGUCGAACGGUGAAGCGCUUGCCUUUUUGGUGGGUGUGGAUGAGUGGCGAACGGGUGAGUAACACGUGAGUAACCUGCCCUCUUCUUCUGGAUAACCUCAUGAAAGUGGGGCUAAUACGGGGUAUUCCGGGUCUGUCGCAUGGCGGGUUUGGGAAAGAUUGCGCCUUUGGGUGUUUUCGGUGGGGGAUGGGCUCGCGGCCUAUCAGCUUGUUGGUGGGGUGAUGGCCUACCAAGGCGGUGACGGGUAGCCGGCCUGAGAGGGUGGACGGCCACACUGGGACUGAGACACGGCCCAGACUCCUGCGGGAGGCAGCAGUGGGGAAUAUUGCACAAUGGGCGCAAGCCUGAUGCAGCGACGCCGCGUGAGGGAUGGAGGCCUUCGGGUUGUGAACCUCUUUCGCCAGUGAAGCAGGCCUGCUCCUGUGUGGGUGGGUUGACGGUAGCCGGAUAAGAAGCGCCGGCUAACUACGUG